Molecule: ribosomal RNA, 146 nt
Filed under: Pichia garciniae
Lineage: Eukaryota; Fungi; Ascomycota; Pichiomycetes; Pichiales; Pichiaceae
Description: 5.8S ribosomal RNA
Rfam family: 5.8S ribosomal RNA
About the family: 5.8S ribosomal RNA (5.8S rRNA) is a component of the large subunit of the eukaryotic ribosome.
Source: RNAcentral
AACGGAUCUCUUGGUUCUUGCAUCGAUGAAGAGCGCAGCGAAAUGCGAUACUUAGUGUGAAUUGCAGCCAUCGUGAAUCAUCGAGUUCUUGAACGCACAUUGCGCCCGCCGGCAUUCCGGCGGGCAUGCCUGUCUGAGCGUCGUUU